GUAAGGAAUAUUGGACAAUGGGCGGAAGCCUGAUCCAGCCAUCCCGCGUGCUUGAUGAAGGCCCUCUGGGUUGUAAAGAGCUUUAGUCUGGGAAGAAACCGUUUUCUGCGGAAGACGCUGACGGUACCAGAAGAAUAAGCACCGGCUAACUCCGUGCCAGCAGCCGCGGUAAUACGGAGGGUGCAAGCGUUAUCCGGAAUCACUGGGUUUAAAGGGUGCGUAGGCGGUCUGAUAAGUCAGAGGUGAAAGCCUGCAGCUUAACUGUAGAAUUGCCUUUGAUACUGUCAGACUUGAAUGGGGUCGAGGUCGGCGGAAUGUGGCAUGUAGCGGUGAAAUGCAUAGAUAUGCCAUAGAACACCAAUUGCGAAGGCAGCUGACUAGGCCUGUAUUGACGCUGAGGCACGAAAGCGUGGGGAGCAAACAGGAUUAGAAACCCCAGUAGUCC
This 445-nucleotide ribosomal RNA is filed under the name uncultured bacterium. RNAcentral's name for it is "bacterial SSU rRNA". It matches the Rfam family "Bacterial small subunit ribosomal RNA", at positions 354 to 796 of the family's 1533-position model. The record is from RNAcentral.